Molecule: ribosomal RNA, 590 nt
Filed under: uncultured fungus
Lineage: Eukaryota; Fungi
Description: eukaryotic LSU rRNA
Rfam family: Eukaryotic large subunit ribosomal RNA
Source: RNAcentral
AGCAUAUCAAUAAGCGGAGGAAAAGAAACCAACAGGGAUUGCCCCAGUAACGGCGAGUGAAGCGGCAACAGCUCAAAUUUGAAAUCUGGCUUCGGCCCGAGUUGUAAUUUGUAGAGGAUGCUUUUGGUGCGGUGCCUUCUGAGUUCCCUGGAACGGGACGCCAGAGAGGGUGAGAGCCCCGUAUAGUUGGACACCAAGCCCUUGUAAAGCUCCUUCGACGAGUCGAGUAGUUUGGGAAUGCUGCUCUAAAUGGGAGGUAUAUCUCUUCUAAAGCUAAAUAUAGGCCAGAGACCGAUAACGCACAAGUAGAGUGAUCGAAAGAUGAAAAGCACUUUGAAAAGAGGGUUAAAUAGUACGUGAAAUUGUUGAAAGGGAAGGGCUUGUGACCAGACUUGUGCCGGGCUGAUCAUCCACGGUUCUCCGUGGUGCACUCUGCCCGGCUCAGGCCAGCGUCGGUUCUGGCAGGGGGACAAAAGCUUAGGGAACGUGGCUCCUCCGGGAGUGUUAUAGCCCUCUGCUCAAUACCCUUGCCGGGACCGAGGUUCGCGCUCUGCAAGGACGCUGGCAUAAUGGUCAUCAGCCACCCGUCU